RNAcentral lists this long non-coding RNA (1220 nucleotides) under Homo sapiens (human). RNAcentral describes it as "HSALNT0404301". Lineage: Eukaryota; Metazoa; Chordata; Mammalia; Primates; Hominidae. The record is from RNAcentral.
UUCCGCAGCCCAGUAUAAAUGCAGAGCAUGGGAGCUGUGGACCUUGACUUGAAGAGAAAGUGCAGGUCUUGAGAGAGGGGAACUGAAAAACCAAGAAGACAGCUGGUGAGAGAAGAGGAGAAAAGAGAAGACAAGGUGGCUGUCAGGGUGCAGCAGACAGCCAAGUUAAGAGUUAAGACAAAGAUGAGGAACAGGGUGAGGUCAGAAUCCAGGAGGGAGCUACUGAGGGCCAGGUCGGGGGUGACGGAUCCAAGGAAGGACAGCAAGGCCUUGAUAAGAUGCAGUGGACCCAGAGGAGAGGUGAGGCCAGCUGGCUCUGUACUGCUGAGCCGCAGGAUUUGGAGUUGCUGUCAACUUCGAGGCUGCUGUUAAACCAGGGGGCUGCCAAAUAUUUUCAAGCGGUGACCAGGCCAGGAGUCUGAAGACUAAGAAGCAUGCAUUCUGGAUGAAUUGAAAAUCGAUGAGAUAUAGAGGCUCAGAGAAGGAAUAUUAACCCAGCACCAAAGUCUCCUAGCUCUUCUGGGGCCAGGCCCGGGAAAGAGGUGAGAAUGGACAGUUGGCAGUGACUGCUGGCCCCAGUGACUCUUAUUUUCUUAGCCCCGAAUCACAUGUGUCAUCUGACCCACCGUUCCAGCACGUGUGGAACAUCCUGGACUCUUGGAUCUACUGCUGCAUCUUCUAGAGAGUGAGGUGUUCAGUUGCCCUCCUGAGAGCAGCGCCUCCCUCCCCACCCCGCUCAGCAGCCUGGCAUGAAGGCAGGGAAUGUGUACUGUACCCCCGGUGCCAGACGUGGGAGGCACCCAGAGUUGUGGAAUGAAUGAAUACAUUCACAGGCCCACAGGAGGAGUUCAAGAGCUCAAGUUGAGUUGAACAAGGACAUAACAUAAGCCCCCUGAACUGCUGCUAAUUCUCCCAGCAGAAGGAGAUGACUGUCGGAAACUAGGAGGUGCUUGGUGAUAAUGGAAUAAAGGUUUUCUCUCUGCAGGGCUGUCUGGACCACACAGGGGUCACACUUCGAUCUGAUCAUAACAUAGCUCCACCUGGACAAGCUGUUUCUCCCAACCCUCUUUCCAGCUUGAAUCACAUCAUUCCCUUUAAGAAUUUCCAUUCAUUUUAGUUUCCUGCUAAUUGACAUCUUCACUACAUAAAAUACUGGUAUAAAAAUACUGCGUACCAAGAUUUGAUACAACUAGCAAAUGUUCAUUGGUUUACAACAAACC